Molecule: non-coding RNA, 647 nt
Organism: Heterocephalus glaber (naked mole-rat)
Lineage: Eukaryota; Metazoa; Chordata; Mammalia; Rodentia; Bathyergidae
Source: RefSeq, a predicted model, not a curated record
CAGCGGGCUUCUCCUCUUCUAUGUCCCUCUGCAGUUCUUUCUCUGCAGAGAAAAAGUCAUCAUAGCAUUGAGAAUCACCCAAAAUUAAACAGAAGAAUCACCGUAACAAACAGCACCUGAAGUCAUUCCAGAUGUUCAUUUGACUAAAAAUUAAAUUCCACUCUAAGAAACACCUGCUCAAACAUGCUAGGCAAGUGCCUCACCUGGGAAAAGUCUUCAAAACUAUACUUUAAAAAAGUUUGUUCAGGAUUGGGAUUCCUACUUGUUUCACAUAAUGGAAACCUGACAUACGCAAACCAAGAAAAUAAUGAGGAAGAAGGCUAAGACUCAACUUUCAAAGUGGUUUUGUUAGGAAACAUAGUGCUUUACUCUUGGCUUAUUAUAGAUAGAUGAGCUAGGCAGAAAUAUUAUAGGCAGUCAGAUAGGGCUGAGUCCUCGGGAGGGCCAGGACAAGGUGAAACACAGCACAGCUGCACAUCGGCUGAAAACCAGGCCUCAAGAUGGAGACAAGACGACCAGACCCACAUACUUCUUCAAAGAACUGGGCUCAGCAAAGUACAGAUAGGCAUCGACCACCCUGGGGGUGGCCAGAGACCUCUGGACCCGCUGGCCCCUAGGAGAAUCCUUGUUCUUUCAUCCUUGCUGGC